This 433-nucleotide ribosomal RNA is filed under the name uncultured bacterium. RNAcentral describes it as "partial 16S ribosomal RNA". It matches the Rfam family "Bacterial small subunit ribosomal RNA", at positions 29 to 507 of the family's 1533-position model. The record is from RNAcentral.
AACGAACGCUGGCGGCAGGCCUAACACAUGCAAGUCGAGCGCGCCCUUCGGGGUGAGCGGCGGACGGGUGAGUAACGCGUGGGAACGUGCCCUUCUCUGCGGAAUAGCCUCGGGAAACUGAGAGUAAUACCGCAUACGCCCUUUGGGGGAAAGAUUUAUCGGAGAAGGAUCGGCCCGCGUUGGAUUAGGUAGUUGGUGGGGUAAUGGCCCACCAAGCCGAAGAUCCAUAGCUGGUUUGAGAGGAUGAUCAGCCACACUGGGACUGAGACACGGCCCAGCCUCCUACGGGAGGCAGCAGUGGGGAAUCUUAGACAAUGGGGGCAACCCUGAUCUAGCCAUGCCGCGUGAGUGAUGAAGGCCUUAGGGUUGUAAAGCUCUUUCAGCUGGGAAGAUAAUGACGGUACCAGCAGAAGAAGCCCCGGCUAACUCCGUG